Molecule: small RNA, 2111 nt
Filed under: Pongo abelii (Sumatran orangutan)
Lineage: Eukaryota; Metazoa; Chordata; Mammalia; Primates; Hominidae
Description: retained intron
Source: RNAcentral
UCCUUAUCUCAUGACACCGUCAUCUUCCCACAUACCCUUUGAGAUUUCCAGUGUUAAUGCCAUUGUCCUUUACUGCUUUAUUAAAGCAUUUCUCUAAAUAUGUUUUAAUCUUUUGGCUCCAGGAAGUCAGCAUUUGACAUGUUUAACUUCCUGGCUUCUAAACAUCGUCAGCCUCCUGAAUACAACCCCAAUGAUGAAGAAGAGGAGGAGGUACAGCUGAAAUCAGCUCGGUAAGUCUUGAGUGGGGAGCAGUCAUUAGAAACUGCUUUCCCUCUCCUCCAGCUGGUCAGGGCACUACGUAGGAAUUUGUUUGCAUCAGAAUUUCCUGGAUAAGAUUUAAGAGGACUGAAAUCCAUUUGUGUUGAAGUAGCAGUAGGUGCCUGGUAAGGAGUGAGGAAUAUAAGGUACAGAGGAGAAAUUCAAAGAACUGUAAGAUGCCUAUUUUCUUUAAUGAUAGUAUACUUUGUCAGCUUUGGUUGUACCACCAUAGUCGUCAUGGUCAGAAAGUACUAUAUAUACUAAAAAUGGGACUCAUUGGCCAGGCACGGUGGCUCAUGCCUGUAAUUCCAGCACUUUGGAAGUCCGAGGCGGACAGAUCACGAGGUCAGGAGUUCGAGACCAGCCUGACCAACAUAGUGAAACCCCAUCUCUACUAAAAAUACAAAAAUUAGCCCGGCGUGGUGGCGUGCGCCUGUAGUCCCACCUACUCAGCAGGCUGAGGCAAGAGAAUCGCUUGAACCCAGGAGGCCGAGGUUGCAGUGAGCCGAGAUCGCGCCACUGGACUCCAGCCUGGGCGACAGAGCAAAACUCCAUCUCAAAAAAAAAAAAAAAAAAGGGGGGCUCAUUUUAUAAGGCACUUAUUCAGUUUGGCAUUGAACAAAGAGUGUACUAAUUGUCUCUAGGAACCUUCGAUUCAAGACUCAAAACAUUAGUUCCUGAAAAAAAUUCGUUAAUAGUAUGUCUUAUGUCUUAUCUCUUAGGAGGGCAACUAGCAUGGAUCUGCCAAUGCCCAUGCGUUUCCGGCACUUAAAAAAGACUUCUAAGGAGGCAGUUGGUGUCUACAGGUAUGGCUAAAAUUCUAGAAAGAAUUACAGAAAACGAAUGCAGUUUUUCAAAAUCAAAGUAGACCAAAUGCUGGAGUGACCUUCCUCACUCAGUAAGUGAGGAUUUUAUGGACACUAUUUAUUGACCCUCGUAUCCUGGGAUCCUGCACCUCCUUGUGUUGAACAAGGAAGGACUUUAACAUAAUAAGCAUUAAAACAUUGCUGCUUCCAGCGGGUUGCAGAAUGGAAAUAACUUUCAUCUUUGGCCAUUUGUUAGAUGGCUAAAUCAAGUGGGUCCAAAUUUUUAUUUUCUCAAGUGUAUGUCCCUCCUGGGGAAAACAGACCAGGAGAACUUAUUCAUGUAUUCAUGCACUUAACCUUACUUGCAAAAUUUGUGUCUGACCUCUUUUCCGUCUUUGCCCUAGGUCUCCCAUCCAUGGCCGGGGUCUUUUCUGUAAGAGAAACAUUGAUGCAGGUGAGAUGGUGAUUGAGUAUGCCGGCAACGUCAUCCGCUCCAUCCAGACUGACAAGCGGGAAAAGUAUUAUGACAGCAAGGGCAUUGGUUGCUAUAUGUUCCGAAUUGAUGACUCAGAGGUAGUGGAUGCCACCAUGCAUGGAAAUGCUGCGCGCUUCAUCAAUCACUCGUGUGAGCCUAACUGCUAUUCUCGGGUCAUCAAUAUUGAUGGGCAGAAGCACAUUGUCAUCUUUGCCAUGCGUAAGAUCUACCGAGGAGAGGAACUAACUUACGACUAUAAGUUCCCCAUUGAGGAUGCCAGCAACAAGCUGCCCUGCAACUGUGGCGCCAAGAAAUGCCGGAAGUUCCUAAACUAAAGCUGCUCUUCUCCCCCAGUGUUGGAGUGCAAGGACGCGGGGCCAUCCAAAGCAACGCUGAAGGCCUUUUCCAGCAGCUGGGAGCUCCCGGAUUGCGUGGGCACAGCUGAGGGGCCUCUGUGAUGGCUGAGCUCUCUUAUGUCCUAUACUCACAUCAGACAUGUGAUCAUAGUCCCGGAGACAGAGUUGAGGUCUCAAAGAAAAGAUCCAUGAUCGGCUUUCUCCUGGGGCCCCUCG